RNAcentral lists this ribosomal RNA (265 nucleotides) under uncultured bacterium. RNAcentral describes it as "partial 16S ribosomal RNA". It matches the Rfam family "Bacterial small subunit ribosomal RNA", at positions 355 to 612 of the family's 1533-position model. The record is from RNAcentral.
UAGGGAAUCUUCCACAAUGGACGCAAGUCUGAUGGAGCAACGCCGCGUGAGUGAAGAAGGCUUUCGGGUCGUAAAACUCUGUUAUUGAAGAAAAACGUGCGUGACAGUAACUGGUCAUGCAGUGACGGUAUUCAAUCAGAAAGUCACGGCUAACUACGUGCCAGCAGCCGCGGUAAUACGUAGGUGGCAAGCGUUGUCCGGAUUUAUUGGGCGUAAAGCGAGUGCAGGCGGUCUUUUAAGUCUGAUGUGAAAGCCUUCGGCUUAA